UCUGGUGGCAAUGGCGGAGGGGCCACACCCGUUCCCAUCCCGAACACGGAAGUUAAGCCCUCCAGCGCCGAUGGUACUUGGGCACGAGCCCUGGGAGAGUAGGUCGCUGCCAGAA
Molecule: ribosomal RNA, 115 nt
Filed under: Bacillota bacterium
Lineage: Bacteria; Bacillati; Bacillota
Source: RNAcentral